AGUACAACAGUUCAUGUGGAGGAAGAAGGUGGACAGUCAGCCAAUCAGAGGAGGCCAACACAAAAGAGACGAGAGGAAGACGCUGUUGCCGCCAUUUCACGUGAAACUAGCGUGUGGCGGAAACGACGUCCGGAACUGAAACAUUACUUUCAAUCAGUUGGCUGUGGUUCGCUGAGUGCGCGCGAUGAAUUACGGCAGGCCGCCGCCGGACGUGGAGGGGAUGACCUCCCUGAAAGUGGACAACCUGACGUACAGAACCUCUCCGGAGACUCUGCGCAGGGUUUUCGAGAAGUACGGCCGCGUGGGCGACGUGUACAUCCCCCGAGACAGGUACACCAAGGAGAGCCGCGGCUUCGCCUUCGUGCGGUUCUUCGAUAAGCGCGACGCCGAGGACGCCAUGGACGCGAUGGACGGCGCGCUGCUGGACGGACGUGAGCUGCGCGUGCAGAUGGCGCGCUACGGGCGCCCGCCGGACUCCAUGUACAGCCGCAGAGGAGGUGCACCCCGCAGGUUCGGCUACGGACGCAGGACCAGGAGCCGUUCAGCCAGCCCCCGUCGUCGCAGAAGGAGCCGCAGUCGCUCCAGAAGCAGAAGCCGAUCCAGGAGCCACCGCCGUGACAGCCGAUCCCGAUCUCGCUCCUAUUCCAGAUCCAAAUCCAAAUCUAAGUCCAAGAGCAGAAGUCCCCGUCGGAGCAAGUCCAAGUCUCCCUCCAGAUCACGGUCCUGGUCAAAGUCUAAAUCUAAGUCACGGAGUCAAACCCCACCUUCCAACAGAGAGUCCAGAUCCAAGAGUGGGCCGAAGUCUCCAGAGGACAGUGGUGUCAAGUCCUAACCUAAACAUGGACAAAAUAUUCAGCUGCGGAGUCCUGUUUGCAAAGAGAGGAGAUGGGGGUGUGGCAGUUUGAGAGCAGUUAGUGUGUGACCCGCCCAUGUGACCUGCCUGUUGCUGAGAGUGAUGGCAGUUGCUAAGGAGCAGGUCACCAAGGCAACGGUGGUUGCUAUGGAGCAGGUCGCCAUGGCGGUGGUUCGGGCUGUCAGUUGGUGUAUGAGGUGAUGUGGUGAGAUCUGAGAUAUUUGAGCCUCUGCGGAGACCAGGAAGAGACUCAAACACGUGGACACCACAACUACCACUGAAUGCAGACUGAAAGGUUAUUGGACCAUGGUCCAAAGUUUUACAUGUUUGAUUUGGCCUAAAAAAAAAAAUCUAAAACUAUACAUGUAAUCUCUCUUGAUUAAGUUGUACAUAUUGAUAGCGACUUGUGAACCGGUUUCUCCCUUCAAACUGGGCCUAUUGCAUUUUAUUUGUUUGUACACUUAAUACCUUGUUCCUUACCAGAUACUUUCUUUAAUCAAUUCCUUGUUUAAUCCUUUUAAGAGACAGGUGUGGUACAGUAUUUAAUUUUCAGCACUGAUGUAGAAGAGGGUAUUGGAUGUUUGGACAACAUUGUGUAGGAAAAUUUGAACAUUGUGCACAGAUAAAAUCAGGGUGAUAGUCGAUUCAAUUCCACUUUCAGUUGUACAAUUCAUACUCUAAUUAGCAAGUACUUAACAAGGACACAUUUCAGGUCAGGUUUGUUGGGGGGGGGGGCUAUGACAUUGCGAUACAUAUAUUGUGCAGAAGAUUUGUAUAACAUUCAAAUUUAAUAAAAAAAAAAAAAAUUGGCUUGACUGUAUUGAUAAACUUAAAAAAAAAAAAAAAAAAGUGCCAAAGUCCAACUCAGAAUUUGGAAUUGGAAUUGGCCCCAGUCCUACCUUACGUAAACCGGUGCAGGGUAUGACAUGUUAAUGCAGCAGCAUAAUGUUGUCUGUCUGCACACAUUUUGCUUUCCUGUGACUCUAACCCACUUUCUUGUGUAUCUUUUGUGCACUAGGCGCAGUUGUGUAGCAGUUUAAUGCUGGUUAGCUGUUAAGAUGCGGUGCAGUGCGAUGGUGACAUGGUGUGGCGUGUUGCGUUGCUGAGUGCCCGGCACUGUUCCGGGGCUCGACCCUCCGCUGCCGUUUUCCGGUUUGUAAGCUCAAAGGUGUGACAGAUCAUCGAUCCUCACUCCUGUCUUGUGCCCUCUCAUUCUUUCAUGUGUUGUAAAUAACCCUGUCAUCUUUCUCUCUUCACCCCCUUUCCUGUUUUUCUCCCUGUGGUUUAUUUCCCGUUGACUGGCUUUGCUUGUUUUUGAGUGGGGAGUGACUCAGUCAAAGCUCGAAAGGGCAGUUCCAGCUGCCUCAUCAUUUUUGUGUACUGCAUUGUCACCCUCUCUCAAAUGUCUUGUAAUUGCUUUGGGUAAAUGCCAAUAAAAGACUUUGUGCUAUA
Thalassophryne amazonica is the source of this 2305-nucleotide RNA transcript. It is a transcript of the gene named serine and arginine rich splicing factor 2a, with no coding region annotated. The record is from RefSeq and is a predicted model, not a curated record. The transcript has 5 exons. NCBI's taxonomy places the organism in Eukaryota, Metazoa, Chordata, Actinopteri, Batrachoidiformes, Batrachoididae.